Long non-coding RNA from Mytilus trossulus (common blue mussel), 3525 nucleotides. RefSeq lists it as uncharacterized. The transcript has 5 exons. NCBI's taxonomy places the organism in Eukaryota, Metazoa, Mollusca, Bivalvia, Mytilida, Mytilidae. The record is from RefSeq and is a predicted model, not a curated record.
CCACGAUGUUGAUGAAGAGGCGCCGCCAUUAUCAUUGGAACGCAUUGUAGGUUCUACAAUUUUUUUUUAAUCUAUCCUAUUCUGAAGAUAAAUUCCACAUUUAUAGGUCAACCUUCUCAUUUAUAUUGACAGAAUAUACAAUUACUACAUGUAUUAAUUGAUGAAAAAUUAAGGAACUGUUGAACAUGUUGAAAAUGCAUGGAGAAAUUUGUUGGGCAAGGCACAGACAUUAAGCUUAAGGCUAACAUCAGAAAACCUCUGGAUUCUUGGAACUGUUUAUCACAUGCAAAUUAUGAACACGGCAUGAUCAAAUCAGAAAGGUUUGAAAAAAGCUUAAAGAAUUUUCAGUUUCACUUGACAGCUUAAAGAAUUUUCAGUUUCACAGGAGUGCAGGAUGAUUUCAGAUAUGAUCACCACACAGUACAGGGAAGAAGUUUUAAAAGACACAUCAUGUGUGAGAUAAUUUCUAUGAUGAAAAGUGAGCUAGAAGUAAGGUGCAAACCAUGAAAGUACCUGACAAGUGGACUUGCAAGAUCUGGUGGAAGUGAAAAAUUGUGAAUUGUUGAAGAAGCACAUUAAAAGAAUAUCUGACUUCAUUGGAAGAUGCAAUUGAACAGUUUAAUAAACCAGCUCAAUCAAAUCUAGAUCAUUGUUCCAAUACUCCAGCCAAAAGAUUUAUCAUUAGAAUUCCAGGAAUUCACAGGAACAGAUGUAUUUUAUGGUUUGAUCCUAAACACUAUCAUCAUUGUUAUGGGGUUAAUAUUAUACCAGGCUAUUGAGUCUGAGGAUGGAAAAGUUCUUUUCCUUAGUUUACUGUUAAAAUGGGAACCUAAAUUAUGAAAAGAAGCUUUUUUUCUGGCAUGUGAUAGUAAUUAUUUUAUUGAAGUUGUAUACUGAAUUUACCCUGCAUCCAUUUUCUUCUUGCCACGCCUUUGGCUAAUGCUUUAAGCUGUUUUCAUGAAACUUUAAUGAAUCAUUUAUUUGUAUUGAAAUGAGCUACCUUUUGUUUUAUAAUAGAAAUUUUAGAUUUUCUUUUCCUAGCUAUGGGGAUUUUGAUUUUUUUUUUAAAAGGGGGAUUUUCCAGUUUUUGGACAAUAACUCAUGAGUGCUUUGAGCAGUUUUCAUGGAACUUUGAUGACUGCCUUAUUUCUAUUGAAGUGAGCUCCUUUUAACUUUUUUUUUUAAUUUCUGAUAUGACAUAUGGAAUGUUAUAAAUGAGAGGCAUAUCAUAUGCUCAUUGCACUGCUGUAUAUUUAAUUAGUACAUUGUAAAUUCUAUUUCUCAAAUAAGUUUUUUGUUUAACAUCUUUUUGUCGAGCCUUCGACUUUAGUCGAAAAAGCGAGACUAAGCAUCGGCGUCCACAAAUAUUUAUUCUGUGGUUAAAGUUUUUGAAAUUUUAAUAACUUUCUUAAACUAAACUGGAUUUCUACCAAGCUUGGAAAGAAGCUUGUUUAUGAUUAUAAGAUAGCAUCCAGAAGUUCAUUUUGUAAAAAUAAAAUUCCAUUUUUUCUGUAUUUUACUUAGUUUUUCUGCGGGGAAACAUUACAUUCACUCUGUGGUUAAGGUUUUUAAAAUUUUAAUAACUUUCUUAAACUGUCCUGGGUUUGUACCAUACUUGGACAGAAGCUUGUUUAUGAUCAUAAGAUAGUAUCCAGAAGUAAAUGUUGUAAAAAAAAUCAUUUUUUUUCGUAUUUUACUUAUAAAUGGACUUAGAUUUUCUUCCAGUUAACAUUACAUACAGUCUGCAGUUAAAGUUUUUAAAACAAUUAUUAGAUUAAAAAACUUCCCUGGAUUUUUACCAAACUUGGACAGAAGCUUCUUACAAUCAAAAGAUAGUAUCAAGAGGAAUAUUUUUAUUGAUUUUUGUCCUCACUUUUGUUGAGUCUGCAAUAUACAGCAAAAGUAGGCAAGACACCAGAUUCCGUGAAACCCUUACAAUUUUUUUUUUUUUUUUUUUUUUUUUUUUUUUUUUUUUUUUUAAAGUUUUUUAAAGUUCCUCAUGCUCAUUUUUCUCUUACCUGUUUUAUUGUGAAUUUUUAAGUUUUUAACCAAUUGUAACCGGUUGACUUUUGUUUUUAAACAUCAAUUAUGGCAUCAACUAUUUGUUGUGAUGUUUUUUUGUUGUUGUAAACUUUGAUAUGUGAGAAACAAUAAAUGUCCGAUGUUUCAUUGUGAAUGUCACAUGUUUUGUAUCUUGAGUAGCAAUCUGGUAUUCUUAAAAGGAACAUUUGUUUAAUCUGAACUUCCAACCUCAUUUAGAAACCAACUUACACUUUAUUUUCUGAAAAUAUUUAACCAUAUCUAAAUUAAUCCUGCAAGUACCAAGAUAGGCUUUAGGAUUUUGUGAAUGGAAAAGAAAACAUUGUCUGGUAUUGUAAGGACUAUUAUGGGUACAAUUUGUUUCCACAUUUAUGAAAUUUAUAUCAAAGGUUUAUACAUGUAUCAGCAACGUCUCAUCCAAAUAUAUAUCUGUUUUCAGUGAUUGUGAUGAAUUUUAUAUUAUAUAUCUGUUAUCUGUUUUCUUUAAAAUAUGUAUAACUAUCUAGUUUUCUUGUAUGAAGCAAAAUGUUAUGUUAUGUUAAUUUCAAGGUUAAUUAUUUUAACUUUGAUAUUUAUUUUUUCACUAUGAAAUCAAAAAGACUUGACAUAUUUUUUUUGUUUUUUUCAUGUCAAUAAAGUUUAUAACCGUUUCUUAUUAUUACUAAUACACUGAGGCACACAUUGUGUGCAACAAGAGCAACUCAAUAUACUAUACAAAAUGAUAAAUUGGUCAAUAAAUAUGACAAGAGAAGAAAAAACGCAACCCUUUUAUCACUAAGGGUGAAAAGAGUUUUUAUAAGUAUUUGUGAAAUAUGAUCAGGGUAGUACUAGCAUAGGACAACAUUUUCCAGAUACAUAUUCGAUGGGUAAAAACUCAAUAAAUACUUAUAAGUGUCAUUUUUUAUGCUUCAGUCAAAAAUGAGAAAUAUAUUUAUUGUUGCUUUAAGGGUAUAAAAUGUGUUAGGUUUAUGUUUUCUAUUGAAGAUUUGGAAGUGAUAUUAAAUGAGUAUUUCUUAUGGUAUAUAUCCUUUGUAGAAAUUAAAUUUUUAGUUGCCUUUUUAAUAAAGCAAUCAUUUAUUAUUAUGAAAUGUUUGUGUUUGUUGCAAAUCUCAAAUGGUUUUAACAGCAAAAGCAGAACAGUAGAAAAAAAACAAAUUGACCACAGCAAGUCUUUUAGAAAUUAAAGUAAUAAGUAAAAAGCUGCAUUGGUCAUGAUGUACAUAAUGUUGUUGAUUAGAAAAUCUUGUAUUUCCUGGAUGUCAUAAACAGUUUGUGUACAAGUAAAAUACAAUUUCCAGUUGCAUUAACAAUAAUAAAAUGGUAUGGCUAUUGAAAUGGUGUUUAAAUGAUAAAUCAAAGUCUUUGAUUCUUGGGAUUAUGAAAAAUGCUGGAUCUAACUGCACAUCUAGAAUUUGGACCCCACUUUAAAUUGGUCCAUAUUAAAGUCCAAAGGAUCCAAAUUGUUUGAUUUCCAACAAAUAUUUA